Molecule: RNA transcript, 1124 nt
Organism: Cyprinus carpio (common carp)
Lineage: Eukaryota; Metazoa; Chordata; Actinopteri; Cypriniformes; Cyprinidae
Exons: 4
Source: RefSeq, a predicted model, not a curated record
CCUUGAAAUCUGUUCACAAAUUAUCAUAGGAGAUGGAUGUUAAUAGCAUCUGUCUCACCUGACCACAAUGAUGUCUGCUCAGUGAAACCAGACUCUGUGCACCUGCUACAUCAGAAGUGAUGUGGUGGAGCUUUAAUCUUUAUGAGUGUGGAGGCUCUGCUACAUGUGUGGACUCGUUUAGUCAUGAGGCGUGGGCGCUGAAGGUCAGCUGAUGUUUGUAUGUGUGUGCUAUCUUUCUCUCAUAGUGUGGCCAUGGGGAGGGAACAGCAGGAGAAUAAGAGAGCCAUUCAAAGCACCCGACACGAGCUGUCUCAGCAGUCUGCAACGCUCAUUAUUUCUCAACAUCAGCUGAAAGAUGCCACAGCUGAGGUGUCUAAACAACAAAAUCAUCUGAAGGAACUCAACAGAGAGUACAGGGCACGCCUUACAUUCUAUAUUCAGGACGUGACAAUUGAUCUUUUAAUGCGCUGUAGGAGUGUGUAACUGCGGCCGGUGAUGGUGAUUUGGGACAGAAGUUGAAGGGGUUUGUUGAGUCCAUGCUGGAGGAGGUGAAAACAUCCUAUCACUCCAGAGAGGAACAGCUCACCAAAACCAUCAGAUCGUACCGCAAACGCAUCCAGGGUCUGAGCAACACCUAUCAACAACUGCUUAUUGCUUACAGACUGCAAUGUGAGCAGAUCCUGGCACUCCCUGAACACGCUUUAGAGGCCGGACCCCCUGAGGGCCACUUCAGUCCCGCGGGGGCCGAACUGAGAGGAUAGACCGAGAGAGAGCUACACAGACUGAGAGAGGACAAAGCCCGCCUGGAGAGCCAACUGAAACUGGCUCGAGAACAGGUGUGUGUGUGUGUGUGUGUGUGUGUGUGUGUGUGUUAUUUAAUGGCUUAGUUCUGUGAUCAUGUGCUUGGUAUUUCAGAUGGCUGUGUUAACAGAGUCCUCUCAGAGGUGAGUAUCAUUCAGAGUUAUGAGUAAAAAGUAUUGUGCUGAUUUUAUGUAUUAUUGUGGAAAGAUUGUGCAGGGUUGGACUAACCCAAGAUGCCUGGAAUGAUGUUAAAAAGCAGCUCAAAGAAAUAACAAACUCCAUGCAAGUAACCAACACCAACCCUGACCACCCCUAACUACCCA